Molecule: ribosomal RNA, 1412 nt
Filed under: human gut metagenome
Description: bacterial LSU rRNA
Rfam family: Bacterial large subunit ribosomal RNA
Source: RNAcentral
AGCACAGGGACACAGGAGUGGAAGGAAAGCGAGGAAGAGGAAAAACUCGUAUCGAAAGAUAUAGUGAAAAUAGAAAGUAACGAAUUUCCAAGAAGCACACUGGCGAGAAAAGCUUGUAGAUAUUGUAUAGAGGUGCCCGUACCGCAAACCGACACAGGUAGAUAGGAAGAGGAUCCUAAGAUGAGCGAGAGAAGCAUUGUUAAGGAACUCGGCAAACUGACCCCGUAACUUAGGGAGAAGGGGUACUGGGAUAAAACCCAGUCGCAGAGAAUAGUCCCAAGCAACUGUUUAACAAAAACACAGGUUUCUGCUAAAUCGAAAGAUGAAGUAUAGGAGCUGACACCUGCCCAGUGCUGGAAGGUUAAGGGAAAAUGUCAAGAGUAAUCUGAAGCAUAGAACCAAAGCCCCAGUGAACGGCGGCCGUAACUAUAACGGUCCUAAGGUAGCGAAAUUCCUUGUCAGGUAAGUUCUGACCCGCACGAAAGGUGUAAUGAUUUGGGAGCUGUCUCGACAAUGUACUCGGCGAAAUUGUAGUACUAGUGAAGAUGCUAGUUACCUGCGACAAGACAGAAAGACCCCAUGGAGCUUUACUGUAGUUUGAUACUGGGUUUUGAUUAUUUAUGUACAGGAUAGGUGGGAGGCUAUGAAGCAUUGGCGCCAGUCGAUGUGGAGUCACCCUUGGGAUACCACCCUUAAGAUAUUGAAAUUCUAACCAAUAGUCAUAAACUGGCUAGGGGACAAUGUCAGACGGGCAGUUUGACUGGGGCGGUCGCCUCCAAAAGAGUAACGGAGGCGCGCAAAGGUUUCCUCAGCGCGGACAGAAAUCGCGCAAAAGAGUGCAAAGGCAGAAGGAAGCUUAACUGAGAGACUGACAAGUCGACCAGAUACGAAAGUAGGUCUUAGUGAUCCGGUGGUUGUAAGUGGAAAUGCCAUCGCUCAACGGACAAAAGUUACCCUGGGGAUAACAGGCUUAUCUCCCCCAAGAGUUCACAUCGACGGGGAGGUUUGGCACCUCGAUGUCGGCUCAUCACAUCCUGGAGCGGAAGUACGUUCCAAGGGUUGGGCUGUUCGCCCAUUAAAGUGGUACGCGAGCUGGGUUCAGAACGUCGUGAGACAGUUCGGUCCUUAUCUGUCGCAGGCGGAGGAUAUUUGAGGGGAGUUGGCCCUAGUACGAGAGGACCAGGCUGAACUUACCAAUGGUGCACCAGUUGUCAUACCAAUGGCAUAGCUGGGUAGCUAAGUAGGGAAGGGAUAAACGCUGAAAGCAUCUAAGUGUGAAGCCCACCCCAAGAUAAGAUAUCCCAUACCGUAAGGUAGUAAGAUUCCACGUAGACUAUGUGGUAGAUAGGUUGGAGGUGUAAGUAUAGUGAUAUAUUAAGCUGACCAAUACUAAUAAAUCGAGGGCUUAACCA